CGGGCGCCCUGCAUAUAGUCCAUGGAGUGGUACCCUGAAGGCUGUGAAAAACUGCCACAGUGUAUAAAACGCAGGAAAAGGGGGUGACAAUUAUUUUUUUGCCAUUUUUUUCUGUUGUUUUUGCAGGUGAAAAAAACAAGAGGAAACUUGUCGGGGUUAGUGCUGUGUAGUUCAGCACGUCACCCGGUUCUUCAGCGUACUGUACGCCCUCCACUUGUGUUAUUGUGCUGCAAACCCGUGAGUAAAGGACAAGUAUCUUCACCACAGGAAGCCAUCUUGUGUAGGCGCAGGAGAGAGCAGAUGAUAAAAGGUGGCUAUACAUGGACAGAUGGUAUGGCAGGGCAGUGGAUCGUGGGGAGCCCCGUCUGGAGUGACUGCGCUGUUUCCCGCCCUCUGGGCGUUUCCUCAGGCCCGGAAUUGACAUCACAUCACAGGUGAUAAGAUGUGUGACCUCUAUCCUUUUUGGACCUGAUCUAAACAACUUUUUACAAAGAUUAAAAUUGCACAUUCUGUGGAGAAAAGAAAAAGAAGACCGAUGGACAGCGCCUCGUGUAUUUAUUACAAUAAAAUGUCCUGCUGAGGACUUUUCCAGUAUCCCUGGCUUUGCUUCAUUCUUCAUACCAGAGCUAGCAGCGCCGUCUUCAAGGGUCCUUUUUCUGCCUUCUUCCAUAAAAUUGCACAUGGAGCAAUUCCCACAUUUGUAAUUACUGUUUUUUUCUUUGUUCUUUUUUUUACUAUAUUUUUGAAGAAAUCUCCUAUUGUUUUGUUAUGUUUGAAUGUAAUGACCGGUUUAUUCUCUGCUAUCCUUUUUAAAUCCAAAUCCUGUUC
Hyla sarda is the source of this 828-nucleotide long non-coding RNA. RefSeq lists it as uncharacterized. The transcript is spliced from 3 exons. The record is from RefSeq and is a predicted model, not a curated record. NCBI's taxonomy places the organism in Eukaryota, Metazoa, Chordata, Amphibia, Anura, Hylidae.